Molecule: ribosomal RNA, 514 nt
Filed under: uncultured bacterium
Lineage: Bacteria
Description: bacterial SSU rRNA
Rfam family: Bacterial small subunit ribosomal RNA
Source: RNAcentral
ACGCUGGCGGCGUGCCUAAUACAUGCAAGUCGAACGGUCUUUCUAUGGAAGCUUGCUUCCACUGAGAAGAUAGUGGCGAACGGGUGAGUAACACGUGGGUAACCUGCCCAUAAGAGGGGGAUAACAUCCGGAAACGGGUGCUAAUACCGCAUAGUUUUUCUUGAUCGCAUGAUUGAGAAAGGAAAGACGGCCUUUGUGCUGUCGCUUAUGGAUGGACCCGCGGCGUAUUAGUUAGUUGGUGAGGUAACGGCUCACCAAGACGAUGAUACGUAGCCGACCUGAGAGGGUGAUCGGCCACAUUGGGACUGAGACACGGCCCAAACUCCUACGGGAGGCAGCAGUAGGGAAUCUUCCGCAAUGGACGAAAGUCUGACGGAGCAACGCCGCGUGAGUGAAGAAGGUUUUUCCGGAUCGUAAAACUCUGUUGUCAGAGAAGAACAAGUUGGAGAGUAACUGCUCCAGCCUUGACGGUAUCUGACCAGAAAGCCACGGCUAACUACGUGCCAGCAGCAGC